Long non-coding RNA from Oncorhynchus nerka (sockeye salmon), 2000 nucleotides. RefSeq lists it as uncharacterized. NCBI's taxonomy places the organism in Eukaryota, Metazoa, Chordata, Actinopteri, Salmoniformes, Salmonidae. The transcript has 3 exons. The record is from RefSeq and is a predicted model, not a curated record.
GAGAGCUAGAGAGAGCGAAAGAGGGGAAGGAAACAAAGAGAUGACUACAACAACAAUCACUUCCUCUAAUUGUGUGUCUCCCCCUUGGCUGUCCGCUGAGAACUGUGGCAUUUCACUUCUGUCUUUAUCAGUCAAAAAAAGAGAGGCUAACUAAUUUAGGUCUAACGCCCCACUCGUUAGCGAUGAGGGGUCAGAGAACAUCCUGCUUUCUCAGAACCAGUAGUUACGCCACUAUACCCCUCCUUCCUGCCUAACGGGAAGGAAGGAUUAUUUAUGAAAAAUGGAGAAGUACUGUAUGUCAACACGCAUCUUACUCCGCCCACACAAACUGUGACAGGGCUGAAACCCACAGCCGAUUCUGCUUGAAUGAUCCCAUCAAACCAACCAUGGGCAGGCUCCCUACCAGCAGGCCAGCCUCCCUACCAGCAGGCCUGCCUCCAGCCACUGCCAGCAGGCAGCCAGCCUGGUAUGUCAGGUAUAUGGGGAGGAGAGAUGGGGGGGCCAUUCUAGAGCUACAAGCAAGUCAAGACGACGCAAAAUUGGUUCACAUUUCAAGAAUCCAUGGUGCAAUUGCAUUGUACACUCUAUACAAUGACAUGGUCACACUGUGAUCUACAAAUGGUCAUACUAUCAACAAACUAUCUGUUGUUAGGCAUCUGCUUGCUAAGAUCACGUUUAGGUUUAGAAUAAGGUUUAGGGUAAGGGUUAAGGUUAAGGUUCGGAUUAGGGCUAGGGCUAGGGCUAGUGUCUACUUCGUUGAAAUGUUUUUUGACAGUUAUUAUAUCUACGAAACAUCUACCGUACUUGGGACUACCCAAUAGAAGUACUACCUGACAGGAUAUUAUUCACUCACAGUCCAAAUUAAUGUUAGAGUUUUAACUCAGUGAGUCAGUUUGGACAAAUGUUAACUUUGGUUCAGUUCUGCAACAUUAGGUAAACAUUGUUGCAGGGUCACGGAAUGACCAAAGUAUUUUCAGAUUAAUUAUAUAAAAUAUUAAGCUCUCAGAUAGGGUCUGUGAAGUUUCUGUAACGUGCCGUUUGCUCCUCACCCAGUUCCCCUUUGCGAGUCUCAGAAAAGGGAACUUGGCCAACAAGCACUCAUGCAUUCUCAAACUAAAACAAAUGAGCCUGCAUAAGAAAUUUGAGGAAGCACACAAAUGAUUGCAUCUAUGAACUCCAAACAAACCAAAUUGCAGAAAACUCUUCCUCACUUUAAGAUGCCUGUGGAAUUUACAGGGACCUGAGCCCUAGGACCAUGCCUCAGGACUACCUGGCAUGAUGACUCCUUGCUGUCCACAGUCCACCUGGCCGUGCUGCUGCUCCAGUUUCAACUGUUCCACCUGACGCUAUGGAAUCCUGACCUGUUCACCGGACGUGCUACCUGUACCAGACCUAUUAUUUGACCAUGCUGGUCAUUUAUGAACAUUUGAACAUCUUGACCAUGUUCUGUUAUAAUCUCCACCCGGCACAGCCAGAAGAGGACUGGCCACCCCUCAUAACCUGGUUCCUCUCUAGGUUUCUUCCUAGGUUUUGGCCUUUCUACUAAGUUUUUCCUAGCCAACAGGCUUCAACACCUGCAUUGCUUGCUGUUUGGGGUUUUAGGCUGGGUUUCUGUACAGUACUUUGAGAUAUCAGCUGAUUUGAUUUGUUUACAGCAUGAGUAGAGGCACUUGUUUUGAGAUCAAAGCAAGAGAUGCAUGUAGCCAGGUGUACACAUUGUGUUCAUAACCAUUGGUUGUUAGUGAGUUAUUAGCCCAGAUAUAGAUCAUUAGUAGUCAGCAAUAGGGAAUUGAUUGCUUUCUACAAGAGCACAAUACUUGGACAUUUCUAGACAUCUUUGAAAGCGAAUCAGGUAAAGAGCUUUUUUUGUCUUGAAGGGGCAGUGUUGUAUUUUGAGACAAGCUUGAUUAAGCUAAGUGGCCAAUAGGCAGAGGGUAGCAUAAUUUGUCUGAUUCCCUGUAAUAAUGGUAUGGGAAUAAAAAUGCUUUUUAUUUUGUAAA